AACGAACGCUGGCGGCAGGCUUAACACAUGCAAGUCGAGCGAGACCUUCGGGUCUAGCGGCGGACGGGUGAGUAACGCGUGGGAACGUGCCCUUCUCUACGGAAUAGCCCCGGGAAACUUGGAGUAAUACCGUAUACGCCCUUUGGGGGAAAGAUUUAUCGGAGAAGGAUCGGCCCGCGUUGGAUUAGGUAGUUGGUGGGGUAAUGGCCCACCAAGCCGACGAUCCAUAGCUGGUUUGAGAGGAUGAUCAGCCACACUGGGACUGAGACACGGCCCAGACUCCUACGGGAGGCAGCAGUGGGGAAUAUUAGACAAUGGGGGCAACCCUGAUCUAGCUAUGCCGCGUGAGUGAUGAAGGCCUUAGGGUUGUAAAGCUCUUUCAGCUGGGAAGAUAAUGACGGUACCAGCAGAAGAAGCCCCGGCUAACUCCGUG
Molecule: ribosomal RNA, 433 nt
Filed under: uncultured bacterium
Lineage: Bacteria
Description: partial 16S ribosomal RNA
Rfam family: Bacterial small subunit ribosomal RNA
Source: RNAcentral